Molecule: ribosomal RNA, 387 nt
Filed under: Macrophasma biroi
Lineage: Eukaryota; Metazoa; Arthropoda; Insecta; Phasmatodea; Phasmatidae
Description: partial 12S ribosomal RNA
Source: RNAcentral
UAAACUAGGAUUAGAUACCCUAUUAUUUUGUACGUUAAUUUUACCAGGGUAAUAAUAGUUAUGUUCUUUAAACCUAAAGAAUAUGGCGGUACUUUAGUCUAAUUAGAGGAAUCUGCCCUAUUAUCGAUAUUCCACGUUUUAUUUUUCUUGAAUUUGUAAUUUCAGUAUGUAUAUCGCCGUUAUAAGUUUAUUUUUUUAGAAUAAAAUUUACUUCUGUCAUUAAUUUGAUAAAUUUCAGGUCAAGGUGCAGCUUAUAUUCAAGUAGAGGUGGAUUACAUUAUUAUUUAAAUAUAUGGAUUUAAGUUUGAAAAGUUUAUUGAAAGUGGAUUUAUUAGUAAUUUUAUUAUUAUAUUAAUUUGAUUUUAGCUCUAAAGUAAGUACACAUCG